CUUUUACAAAAUGUUGUCGUUUCUGUAAUUGCUUCAAACUUUGAAGAGCAAAAGAACUACUACAGCCACGACCCACAUAGAAGUCCUCCUACAGGUCUCUCUCUCUUUCUUUUAGUUAAAAUGGAAAGAUGAGAUCGCCCUCGAUUUAAAUAUUUUCGUGUUUAAAAUAAAGGUAAAAUUUGUAAAACAAUGCAUUAACUGCUCUAUAUGAUGCAUGGCAGGUUCACACGGCAGCCCAUCUCAUGGAACGCCACCAUCACACGGAUCUGGAGGUGGUGGUCAUGGUGGCAGCACGCCCACUUACCCUACUCCAUCAACCCCAUCGACCCCAUCGCAUGGAAAUUGUGGAACCCCACCAACAACGCCAUCAACUCCAUCAAAUCCUCCAACGGGAGGAGGUGGUGGAUAUUACCCUCCAUCAACACCAUCAAAUCCUCCAACAGGAGGAGGUGGUGGAAAUAAUCCUCCCUCACCUGAUAUUACUCCUCCAACACCUGCCAUUGUAAGCCCACCAACCACCACUCCUCCAACUCCUUACUUUCCCAUUCCAACUCCAUCCACUCCGGACGUUCCCUCACCUCCGUUCACUCCUGAUCCAAAUUCACCCUAUACAUGCAAGUAAGUUUUUACUUACGUAUUUUAAUUCUUAGCUUGUUGCAUUGUAAAGUAGGUACUCCACUCAGUGGGAAAGCCACGUCGAAGAAGAGGAAAGCAAUUUCUGUGCAGGUCCUGUAGUUGAAACUCAGGGCCUGCCAUAAUUUUUCCUUCUAUCCUUAACCAUUUUCCCCUUGAUUUAUGUAAAAUGGUGGUAUGAAAUCCUGGUUUCGCCCUUCUCUACAUUGAUAUAUAUAUAUAUAUAUAUAUAUAUAAAAUGACAUGAAUGUUCUUGUUUAAUUUAUAUACAGUUACUGGAAAAAUCAUCCUGGUUUAGUAUGGGGUCUGCUUGGCUGGUGGGGAACAGUUGGCAAUGCAUUUGGAGUAACUAGCUUGCCUAGUUUUGGAACAAGCAUGAACGUACAACAAGCACUUGCAAAUACACGUGCUGAUGGGUAUGGGAGUCUCUACAGGGAAGGUA
This 1075-nucleotide long non-coding RNA is filed under the name Jatropha curcas. RNAcentral describes it as "long non-coding RNA (JCUR_LNC000719)". Lineage: Eukaryota; Viridiplantae; Streptophyta; Magnoliopsida; Malpighiales; Euphorbiaceae. The record is from RNAcentral.